Molecule: long non-coding RNA, 1834 nt
Organism: Fukomys damarensis (Damara mole-rat)
Lineage: Eukaryota; Metazoa; Chordata; Mammalia; Rodentia; Bathyergidae
Exons: 6
Source: RefSeq, a predicted model, not a curated record
AGCAACAGAGCUUCGGUUGUGUCUCCUAAGAAUUGCUCAUUGUUUCAUGGGGACGACUGGCUCCUUUGGGUGGGAUCUGAUGGCAUCUCAUGGAGUUGGAGGCCAAGGAACAGAAAGCAUGAGUUCUGCUUGUGGUUAUAGGUCAUGUGAUACUUUGGUUGCUUUGCAACCUUCAAGGAACUUUGACACAAAAAUGAUCUUACUGGAUUCUCAGAUGACUCCAUGAUACAGGUACCAUGACCAAACCCAUGUCUUCCAUCUACAAGUCAAAUAUUUAAUGAUAUUAUUUCUUAAUAAUAUGAUGAACGUCAUCAGUAAGCUAUUUUUCAUACCAAGACAGAAUAUCAUAAUUUAGGGAAGAGAGAAGCCUGAAUUCUAAUAGGAAGCACUUCUCCUCACUUGGUAAUUUCUAAACCCAAUGGCAUUUUAAAAAGAAGUCAGAUCUAUCAGUUAACAGAACAAAAAUAAGGAAAAGAAGAAAUGUCACUCCAGAGCUCUAUUAAUCCAGUUGUCCUAGUGAAGAUUUACUGUAGGUCUAGAACGACUGGCUUAUAAACAUCAAGUCAGGUGUUGUCAGCAGCCUGAAGUAUGAAGGAAGCUCUUCUAUAAAGAAAGAGGAGGAGAUUCUUGAUCCAGAGAAACCUAUGAAGACAGCCAAGAUAAAUCUCUGUUUCCUUCUAGGCCCAGAGUUUGACUGUGUUUUCUAUUCUCCCACCCAGGUAAAUUGAAUUGCAUUCUACUCACCAGAUGCAUAAGCCUCCUAAAAGCCUGGUUCUGGUGCCUCCACACACACUCCCAUCAAUGGUUAUGUGCAGUGAUUUCAGAGCGCUAGGAGAUUAUAGUGUUUUGUGAAGGAUCAGCAAAUUUUUCUUCAAGAGGUUAGAUGAUACAUACUUUAGAUUUAAUCGAUGACAUAGUUCUCAGUUCUCUCCCUCCUCAUUCUUCUUGUCUUCCUCUUUUUUUCUUCUUCUCCUCUUUCUCUUCCUUUUUAAAAUGAAAAAAAGAAAGGCUUAGUUUUCAGCAUUGUACUGUGUUUGGCCUUUUGACCAUAGCUCUCCGAUCCUUACACUAGAGAAAGAUCUUGAGCUUCAGAAUACUGAUGUAAAGCAAAAUCCCUCUCUCACUUUUCUUUUUAUUCCAACUCCCAGUCCUUGCAACUGAUUUACUUUGGCUAUGAUGAAAGUGAUCUUUUUUUUUUAUUAUGUUUCCUCUGAACUAUAGAUGUGGGACCUUCUGUGGUUCCAACUGCAGAAGCAAACAACUAGGGUGAGUUUGAAGCAAGCAGAGUUCUAAUGUGAAGAAUUUGGGAUUCAUCCACCCCAAUUAGUCCUCUUCACUGCAAGGUUGCUUGAGCCACAUAUGUCUCAUUUAUGACUACUUUGUUUGGUUCAUGCCUAGGGAACCAUCAUGAUUAAAUCCAUCUGCCUUCUCCAGAGCAGUCUGAUUUAGAACCAUAGUUUAAAAAUCCAACUGCAGAUAUUAUCAAGGUCUGAGAGAAUCCAGAGGCGACCGUGGAGUGAAUGACAAAGGAAGAGGAAAUGUGUUUCACUACACAAACAUGAUCUGCAAAGCGUCUGAAACUUGAGGAGAGAGAAACACACAUAAAGAACACUAUAUGAAAAACAGACACCUGGAGAAGCUGUCCAUGUACAAAGGAGGCAGCGAUUUGAGUCUUAUUGCCACAAGCUAAGGCAUGCCUGGGGCUAUAAAAAGCUUGAAGAGGCAUAAAAGGAUCCUUUCCCCCAAAGCUUCCACAGAGCAAGGCCCUGUCACCACCUCAAUUCGCUUUUCAAAUCCUGAGUGCUGACAUUCCGCUCUUGAAUCAGCCACCCAA